RNAcentral lists this ribosomal RNA (460 nucleotides) under uncultured bacterium. Its description in RNAcentral is "partial 16S ribosomal RNA". It matches the Rfam family "Bacterial small subunit ribosomal RNA", at positions 338 to 795 of the family's 1533-position model. The record is from RNAcentral.
CCUACGGGGUGCAGCAGUGAGGAAUAUUGGUCAAUGGGCGCGAGCCUGAACCAGCCAAGUAGCGUGAAGGAUGACUGCCCUACGGGUUGUAAACUUCUUUUAUAAAGGAAUAAAGUGAGGCACGUGUGCCUUUUUGUAUUUACUUUAUGAAUAAGGAUCGGCUAACUCCGUGCCAUCAGCCGCGGUAAGACGGAGGAUCCGAGCGUUAUCCGGAUUUAUUGGGUUUAAAGGGCGCGUAGAUGGGUUGUUAAGUCAGUUGUGAAAGUUUGCGGCUCAACCGUAAAAUUGCAAUUGAUACUGGCAGUCUUGAGUACAGUUGAGGUAGGCGGAAUUCGUGGCGUAGCGGUGAAAUGCUUAGAUAUCACGAAGAACUCCGAUUGCGAAGGCAGCUUACUAAACUGCCACUGACAUUGAUGCUCGAAAGUGUGGGUAUCAAACAGGAUUAGAUACCCGGGUAGUC